GAUGAACGCUGGCGGCGUGCCUAAUACAUGCGAGUCGAGCGAACGGACGAGAAGCUUGCUUCUCUGAUGUUAGCGGCGGACGGGUGAGUAACACGUGGAUAACCUACCUUUAAGACUGGGAUAACUUCGGGAAACCGGAGCUAAUACCGGAUAAUAUUUUAAACCGCAGGGUUCAAAAUAAAAAGCCGUUCUUGCUGUCCCUUAUAAAUGGAUCCGCGUUGCUUUAGCUAGUUGGUAAGGUAACGGCUUACCAAGGCAACGAUGCAUAGCCGACCUGAGAGGGUGAUCGGCCACACUGGAACUGAGACACGGUCCAGACUCCUACGGGAGGCAGCAGUAGGGAAUCUUCCGCAAUGGGCGAAAGCCUGACGGAGCAACGCCGCGUGAGUGAUGAAGGUCUUCGGAUCGUAAAACUCUGUUAUUAGGGAAGAACAUAUGUGUAAGUAACUGUGCACAUCUUGACGGUACCUAAUCAGAAAGCCACGGCUAACUACGUG
Molecule: ribosomal RNA, 497 nt
Filed under: uncultured bacterium
Lineage: Bacteria
Description: partial 16S ribosomal RNA
Rfam family: Bacterial small subunit ribosomal RNA
Source: RNAcentral